RNAcentral lists this ribosomal RNA (374 nucleotides) under Kodamaea sp. I11. RNAcentral describes it as "eukaryotic LSU rRNA". It matches the Rfam family "Eukaryotic large subunit ribosomal RNA", at positions 128 to 491 of the family's 3401-position model. Lineage: Eukaryota; Fungi; Ascomycota; Pichiomycetes; Serinales; Debaryomycetaceae. The record is from RNAcentral.
AAUCCCCCCGGGGAGUUGUAAUUUGAAGAUUGCGUCUUGGAGGCGACCGUGUCUAUGUUCCUUGGAACAGGACGUCACAGAGGGUGAGAAUCCCGUGCGGCACGGCCCCCGGCUCCUUAUAAGGCGCUCUCGACGAGUCGAGUUGUUUGGGAAUGCAGCUCAAAGUGGGUGGUAAAUUCCAUCUAAAGCUAAAUACAGGCGAGAGACCGAUAGCGAACAAGUACAGUGAUGGAAAGAUGAAAAGCACUUUGAAAAGAGAGUGAAACAGCACGUGAAAUUGUUGAAAGGGAAGGGCAUGCCGUCAGAUUGUCAGUGUGGGUAAGAAGCGGGGUACAAAGACUGUGGAACGUGGCCCUCGGGUGUUAUAGCCGCAG